RNAcentral lists this ribosomal RNA (324 nucleotides) under uncultured eukaryote. Its description in RNAcentral is "partial 18S ribosomal RNA". It matches the Rfam family "Eukaryotic small subunit ribosomal RNA", at positions 1470 to 1796 of the family's 1831-position model. The record is from RNAcentral.
CCCUUAGAUGUUCUGGGCUGCACGCGCGCUACACUGAUGCGAUCAACAAGUUUUUCCUAUGUCGAUAGACACGGGUAAUCUUUUGAACUCGCAUCGUGAUGGGGAUAGAUUAUUGUAAUUAUUAAUCUUCAACGAGGAAUUCCUAGUAGGUGCAAAUCAUCAGUUUGCAUCGAUUACGUCCCUGCCCUUUGUACACACCGCCCGUCGCUGCUACCGAUUGGUUGAUCUGGUGAAUUAUUCGGACUGCCGGCUGAAGGGGUUUCCUCAUCUGCCAGCGGAAAGUCUUGUUAACCCUAUCAACCAGAGGAAGCAGAAGUCGUAACA